Molecule: small nuclear RNA, 150 nt
Filed under: Cebus imitator (Panamanian white-faced capuchin)
Lineage: Eukaryota; Metazoa; Chordata; Mammalia; Primates; Cebidae
Description: U1 spliceosomal RNA (ENSCCAG00000014770.1)
Rfam family: U1 spliceosomal RNA
About the family: U1 is a small nuclear RNA (snRNA) component of the spliceosome (involved in pre-mRNA splicing). Its 5' end forms complementary base pairs with the 5' splice junction, thus defining the 5' donor site of an intron. There are significant differences in sequence and secondary structure between metazoan and yeast U1 snRNAs, the latter being much longer (568 nucleotides as compared to 164 nucleotides in human).
Source: Rfam by way of RNAcentral
AUACUUACCUGGCUGGGGAGAUGCCAAGAUCACGAAGGCGGUUUUCCCAGGGCAAGGCUUAUCCAUUGCACUCCGGAUGAGCUGACCCCUGCGAUUUCCCCAAAUGUGGGAAACUUGACUGCAUAAUUUGUGGUAGUCUCCAGAUGGAUU